CAGUCAUGUGACCAGCUACACCAGACACCACAAUUACAGGACUGCACUUUACAUGUGAAUUCAGGUUCCUCAGGUACAGGAUUCUACUUUUUAAAGACAAUAGACCGUUCCAUCAAUGACCCAUCAAGGAUGGAGAAGGACAGAGAAAACAUGGCUGCAAGGAUAUUAGACCUCACCCUGGAGAUCAUCUCCUUGAUAACUGGAGAGGAUUACACAGUAGUGAAGAAGUCGUCUGGUGAGUGUGUGACACCCUGUGUGUCAGGAGG
Bufo gargarizans (Asiatic toad) is the source of this 266-nucleotide long non-coding RNA. RefSeq lists it as uncharacterized. Lineage: Eukaryota; Metazoa; Chordata; Amphibia; Anura; Bufonidae. The record is from RefSeq and is a predicted model, not a curated record. The transcript is spliced from 3 exons.